Oryza sativa Japonica Group (Japanese rice) is the source of this 207-nucleotide microRNA precursor. It matches the Rfam family "MIR812 microRNA precursor family". The record is from Rfam. Lineage: Eukaryota; Viridiplantae; Streptophyta; Magnoliopsida; Poales; Poaceae.
AAUAAGUGCAGUCAUGAGUUUCAGCGCCCAACUUUGAUCGUCCGUCUUAUUUGAAUUUUUUUUUAUAAUUAGCAAUUUUGUUGUUAUAAGAUGAUAAAACAUGAAUACUACUUUACUCGUGAAUUAUGUUUUUAAUUUUUUUUCAAAAAAUUUUCAAAUAAGACGAGUGGUCAAAGUUGUGCGCGGAAAACCAUGGCUGCACUUAUU